RNAcentral lists this long non-coding RNA (278 nucleotides) under Marmota monax (woodchuck). The record is from RNAcentral. Lineage: Eukaryota; Metazoa; Chordata; Mammalia; Rodentia; Sciuridae.
CCUUGUUAUCUGUGUCUAGACUCCCCAGAAUCUAUUAAUGGAAAAGUAAUAUUUAAAAAUGUAUUUGUUAACUCAAAUUACAGAUAAAAAAAUGCUUAAGAGCUGGUGUUUUCUAAAUGCUUAUUAUUCCAGAAGCUUUAAGAUAAUACAUUGCCAAGUACCAUUCUUGCAAAUUUUCUCUUACAUAACUGACCAGUGUUUUUUUUAAUAAGACAAGCAGAUAUCUGUAAAUAAUUACUGGCAGUAGGUUACAGUUACUGGUUAAAAAUAACUUUGGC